This 90-nucleotide non-coding RNA is filed under the name Sphingopyxis macrogoltabida. RNAcentral describes it as "ZTP sequence". It matches the Rfam family "ZMP/ZTP riboswitch aptamer (pfl RNA motif)". From Rfam's summary of the family: Previously known as pfl RNA. ZMP is also known as AICAR. The record is from Rfam by way of RNAcentral. Lineage: Bacteria; Pseudomonadati; Pseudomonadota; Alphaproteobacteria; Sphingomonadales; Sphingopyxidaceae.
GCAGCGUCCCGCAACUGGCGCUGAUGAUGGAGCUCCAUCGGGAAGCGGGAUUGGUCGAAAGCCGGAGAGCCGCGCGCCUGGGUGAUCCGU